AUGGUAGGUGAUCUGCAUACCAUGAUGAUAUCGGGUAACGGGAAAUCAGGGCUUGAUUCCGGAAAAAGAGCCAGAGAAAUGGCUACCACUUCCAAGGGAGGUAGCAGGCGUGCAAAUUACCCACUCCCAGUAUGGGGAGGUGGUGAAGAAAAAUACCGAUGCGGGACUCUUAUUGAGGCUUCAUAAUCGGAAUGAGUGAACUCUUAAUUUUUUCACGAGGAUCAAUUGGAGGGCAAGUCUGGCGCCCUUAGCGGUGGUAACUCAAGCUUCAAUAGCGUAUAUUUUAGUUGUUGCAGUUAAAAAGCUCGUAGUUGGAUCUCGGUAUCACUGUCGCCUGUCAGUCCUCGGCUGAGUGUGUCGGUGUAGGUGGGGCCUUGCUUCGCUCGGUGGCCCUUGCCCAGGCAUGGUUAUGCUCGAUUUGAUGUGGUGGUGGUGGUGUCACCUUUCAGCCAUGUCUNAUGUCUGCGGUGAAAUACCCGCAGGUUUAGGCGAGUGUCAGGUGGUGCUUUGCGAGAACAGGGUCCGUCGGCUUGUGGCAAUCAAGCGUUCAAAGCGACGUCGUUUUUUGAUCCAUCGAUGUCGGCUCUUCCUAUCAUUG
This 598-nucleotide non-coding RNA is filed under the name Schistocephalus solidus. RNAcentral's name for it is "Eukaryotic small subunit ribosomal RNA". It matches the Rfam family "Eukaryotic small subunit ribosomal RNA", at positions 325 to 820 of the family's 1831-position model. The record is from Rfam by way of RNAcentral. Lineage: Eukaryota; Metazoa; Platyhelminthes; Cestoda; Diphyllobothriidea; Diphyllobothriidae.